AUUGAACGCUGGCGGCAGGCCUAACACAUGCAAGUCGAGCGGAUGAAGGGAGCUUGCUCCUGGCUUCAGCGGCGGACGGGUGAGUAAUGCCUAGGAAUCUGCCUGGUAGUGGGGGAUAACGUCCGGAAACGGGCGCUAAUACCGCAUACGUCCUGAGGGAGAAAGUGGGGGAUCUUCGGACCUCACGCUAUCUGAUGAGCCUAGGUCGGAUUAGCUAGUUGGUUGGGUAAAGGCCUACCAAGGCGACGAUCCGUAACUGGUCUGAGAGGAUGAUCAGUCACACUGGAACUGAGACACGGUCCAGACUCCUACGGGAGGCAGCAGUAGGGAAUAUUGGACAAUGGGCGAAAGCCUGAUCCAGCCAUGCCGCGUGUGUGAAGAAGGUCUUCGGAUUGUAAAGCACUUUAAGUUGGGAGGAAGGGCAGUAAGUUAAUACCUUGCUGUUUUGACGUUACCAACAGAAUAAGCACCGGCUAACUUCGUG
Molecule: ribosomal RNA, 484 nt
Filed under: uncultured bacterium
Lineage: Bacteria
Description: partial 16S ribosomal RNA
Rfam family: Bacterial small subunit ribosomal RNA
Source: RNAcentral